Non-coding RNA from Equus caballus (horse), 213 nucleotides. NCBI's taxonomy places the organism in Eukaryota, Metazoa, Chordata, Mammalia, Perissodactyla, Equidae. The record is from Rfam.
UUAACUUGUUAAUCAUAAAAAUUGCUCUUCAAGAAGUACACUGGAAACAUCCGGAUGUGGAGUUAUAACUCAAAAUGAAAGCAGAACAGCUUCUCUUAAAAGAAGUGAAACUCUUAAUUCAAACUUACUGGAUAGCUAUAAUGAAAGCGAAAAUGCUGGCAGCUAUAGAUAUUGGGAAGUCUUUGCAUUUGGAUGUUAUCACUGACCAUCUGG